CAGCAGCCACGGUAAUACGUAGGUCCCGAGCGUUGUCCGGAUUUAUUGGGCGUAAAGCGAGCGCAGGCGGUUAGAUAAGUCUGAAGUUAAAGGCUGUGGCUUAACCAUAGUACGCUUUGGAAACUGUUUAACUUGAGUGCAAGAGGGGAGAGUGGAAUUCCAUGUGUAGCGGUGAAAUGCGUAGAUAUAUGGAGGAACACCGGUGGCGAAAGCGGCUCUCUGGCUUGUAACUGACGCUGAGGCUCGAAAGCGUGGGGAGCAAACAGGAUUAGAUACCCCUGUAGUCCCUGUCUCUUAUACA
RNAcentral lists this ribosomal RNA (301 nucleotides) under uncultured bacterium. Its description in RNAcentral is "partial 16S ribosomal RNA". It matches the Rfam family "Bacterial small subunit ribosomal RNA", at positions 509 to 808 of the family's 1533-position model. The record is from RNAcentral.